CAUCAAGCCGCCGUCGAUCCCUGCGCUACUACGGGAGCCGCCGCCGAUCCCAUCGAGGAGCCGCCGCCGAUGACGGGAGACGCCGCCUAUCCCGUUGAGGAGCCGCCGCCGAUGACGGGAGACGCCGCACGCUGACCUACCCCCUCCCCAAUCCCUAGCAUCGCACCUCUUCCCGUCUGGCGCCUCCUACCUCGGCAGGGCGGUGGCCUCGAGUGCCUCUUCUUCCCCAAUGCGGCCUCAACCAACGACGCUGCACCCCGGUGAUGACUCCGCCCCACGAUUCCCAUCGGUCGGCGCCUCGCCAGCAGUGACCUCCCCCUCCAUGUAUCCUGUGAUCCGGUCGUGCGCCACCGCCUCUCCAGGCGCUUAGAUCCAGGCUUCCAGCAGGGGAUAGGGGUGGAGGCGGCAGCGGAGGGGACAGGGAUGUGGACCGGAGAAACUACAUGGUGGAGGCACAACAAAGCGUUCAAGCACGGCACCCCAUCGCAUGCAGCUGCAGCCAGCGGCAGGUGUUGGGCACUUUGAGGUAUGCAAACCUUCUCAGAGCAAGGGGAGCAAGAGUACCGGUACUGCAUUUCUUAUCUUCAUCACUCAAAAUUCCCAGAACUAAUCGUGAGCUCUUGCUUUGAUACAGAACUAAUCUUGAAGGUCAUAGCCCUGUUUCUUCCCUGUUUUAGAUCAAUCGUUCUUCUUUCUUCCUUGGAGCUCCACUGUUUUGGAUGAACUGGACUAACCCUAGAAGGGAUGAAGGUCAUCCACGAGGUGUCUCAAGGUGAACCCCGUGGUACCCGACCAAGUGGCUGGAGGGAAUGGUGUAUGCUCACAAGUUUGUACAGACCAAUUUGUUUCACUCGGACAAGAAUCCCACGAACCUUAAUGUGGCCUUUAAGUUUCAGGUCCUUGGGGUUGGAUGCGGCAACUCGCGGCUCGAAGACAAUCUUUUGUGGUGGGGCGUCGCCGCCGCCGGCGGCUCCUGCAUAGACCGUAUCGCUGGGAACGAAGAGACGCUCCCCUGAUUUGGAGCUGUAGAAAGGAAGUGGUUGCAGACACAAAGUGGGGACACACAACUCCCAGUCAUAAUAUUCUUUAUCUUGGCUCGUUGUUUGGGGAUGGACGCAUCAAUCUGAUGGCGCUCUCCUCCAUGCCAAACGGAUCCUUGGUUCGGAGGCGCGCGGCGCCGACGAUGACAACCUUUCUAUCGACGCAAGGGCAGCAGGAGCUCAUGACGCUGUUGAUGCCACCACCAUGCAUGGGGUUGAUGCAAGGUGGGACAAUGCGAUCACUAAUGGGGAGAACAUAAAACUUCAAUUGAGGGCACUGUAAUUCUCUAGCUACAUGUAUCAUGGUCACCAACCACACAUGUAAAAACCAUGUCUCCCUACUGUAAUUUGAUGAUUUAUUUACAUGUGGCACAGAAUAGUUCAGAGUUCACUCCGAGAAAGAAUUGCUUUGCAUGUACAUUUGCUAAAAGACGGAUGUGCUGAACUUUCGACUGUUCCGAUUGGUCGCUGACAUAACCUUUCCUCUUUUCAUUGAUAGGUCCAAAAGAGAUCCUUAUUUCACCUUUGUUUAUAGGUAUUCAACGUGAGGAAUUUUAUACUUUUGGAGUGGAGCUAUCAAAUAUAUAUUAUGAGUUUCUAAAACAUCUAUUAUAAGGAGUUGAACAGAGCUUCCUCUGCCCCGGCAGAUUCAGAGAAAACCAACCAGCAGAGAACAUGAACAAAUAUAGUGACGAGAAAGGGUGGAGCUGAGUACACCACACAUGGAUAUGAUGGUCUCCCCUAUGUUCUUUUUGGCAAUCCACUUAAUCACUGACUCAACUUUGUAUGGGUGAGCUAACAAGCCCGUGUUAUGUCUUCCCUCUUUCUUUGGCGCUUCCGAUGCACAAAUGGUGGCGGUGAAGCAGCAGGCCCGAGAGAGCGUGCAGGGGAGGAAGGAGUUCCUGGUGGAGGUGCUGAUACUGGCGGUGCUCAGCCACCCUAACUUCGUCAGCCUGAUCGGCUUCUGCGCGCAGGGGA
Molecule: non-coding RNA, 2018 nt
Organism: Aegilops tauschii subsp. strangulata
Lineage: Eukaryota; Viridiplantae; Streptophyta; Magnoliopsida; Poales; Poaceae
Source: RefSeq, a predicted model, not a curated record